UUUUUUUUUUUUUUUUUUUUUUAUGGCAACCGAUUCCUCUAUACUGAGGAGUAUUACUGCCAGUGUCAACUGUCAUGUGACGCAUUCAUGUCUAAAAUUAUUGUCAAAAAUAAAAAUUUUAGGGUAAAUUUAAGACAAUGUGUUACUAUUACUAAAGGUGUUAAUUAAUGAUGCAUGCAGACACAGAGGGCUGAGGAUGGAUGAUAUAUUAGCAGGGAGAGGAGCCCCAUUAUCAACCAACAUGUCAUAAAAAGAAGGAGAUGAGUAACGGGGACAGCUAAAAGUAUAUGUGGAACGGAUCCCUCAUCCAGGCCACACUCACAUAUAGACGAGUCUCUUAUGUGUAAUUUAUAUAAGUGCACUGGAGACGAGCAAUGACCAAUUCUCAACCGAGAUAUGGUGGCAGAGAUAUGUUUGCUGAAACGUAAUUUGGAAAACCAAGGCCUAGAAGUUAUGUAAGGUUGAAUUUUGUACAGGUUACCUCCUUUAAGGGUACUAGAGUUCCUCCAACUGGUGUUCCAUGCCAGCUCUAGGUCUUGUUUGGCCAAAGUAGGAAGGUCAAAAGAAUACACUGAGAAGUACUCAUCGUUACCAUGAACAAUAGCAUCUUUGGCUAAUUGAUCUACUGUUUCAUUACCUUUAAUACCUAUAUGGCCUGGAAUCCAAGCCACCGACACUUGAAUGUGUUCUACAUUACAUAAUUUAAUCAAAUGCUUAAUUUCUAGAGACAGUGGGUGAAUACAAUUUUUAGCAAAAGGGUUGCUAAGAAGAGACUGGACACAACUUUUAGAGUCGGAAAAAUUAUAGAAGGCGAAAUAUUGUUAACUCUGAUGUAUUUAAUACAUUCCCUAAUAGCUAAAAAUUCACCAGAAAAUACCGAACAAUAGUGUGGAAAUUUAUAUGAAAAGGAUAUAUUGGCAUUCCAGUGUAAAAAAGCAACACCAACAGGGCUUUCUUUACUUAAUUUAGAGGCAUCUGUGAAAAAAAUCUUAGCUUGGGGCCAACGUUUCUGAAUAAUGAGUUUUAAUUUAGAAUCUGGAUUAGCAGUCUGUUUAUCUAUACCAAGAGAUAACUCCACAGAAGGGGUUGAAAUUUUAGAGCUAAACUCAACUGAAAAUGCUGGAUGUAUUUUAAAUUUAUUAAUAGCACAAGAUAUACCUUCUAGCCUCCUGUAACUUUCAAUAAGACAGGGUAAGGGUUUAUGAUACCAGUAAGAGUUAGAAAUAAUAAAUGAAUUUAAUAAUCUAAGUUUAGAGAAAAGAGGAUGAGAGGAGUAAUUAGAUAUUUUAUAAAUAUAUCUGUCUGACAGAUAUUGACGUCUGAGAUAAAGAGGAGGGUCAGAACAUUCCACCUGUAAGGCAUUUGUAGGUGAGCUUUUCAUAGCUCCAGCUACAAUCCUAAGUGCUUUAUAUUGAACCAAAUCUAAUUUUUUUAAUGCUUUUUUAUUGCAGGGAGGCAGCAAAAGGGUGGCAAAAUCUAAAUGACUCCUCACAAUAGCAUUAUAUAAUAAUCUGAGGGAGUAAGGAUGUGCUCCCCACCAGACACCCCUUAAACAUCGCAAAA
Molecule: long non-coding RNA, 1563 nt
Organism: Manduca sexta (tobacco hornworm)
Lineage: Eukaryota; Metazoa; Arthropoda; Insecta; Lepidoptera; Sphingidae
Exons: 2
Source: RefSeq, a predicted model, not a curated record